UACGUAGGGGGCAAGCAUUAUCCGGAAUUAUUGGGCGUAAAGGGUGCGUAGGCGGUUAAAUAAGUCAGAAGUUAAAGACCAGGGCUCAACUCUGGGGGUGCUUUUGAAACUGUUUAACUAGAAUAUCGGAGAGGUAAGUGGAAUUCCUAGUGUAGCGGUGAAAUGCGUAGAUAUUAGGAGGAACACCAAUGGCGAAGGCAGCUUACUGGACGAAUAUUGACGCUGAGGCACGAAAGCGUGGGGAGCAAACAGG
This 253-nucleotide ribosomal RNA is filed under the name uncultured bacterium. RNAcentral's name for it is "partial 16S ribosomal RNA". It matches the Rfam family "Bacterial small subunit ribosomal RNA", at positions 524 to 776 of the family's 1533-position model. The record is from RNAcentral.